RNAcentral lists this transfer RNA (74 nucleotides) under Navicula sp. RNAcentral's name for it is "tRNA-Asp". It matches the Rfam family "tRNA". From Rfam's summary of the family: Transfer RNA (tRNA) molecules are approximately 80 nucleotides in length. The record is from RNAcentral. Lineage: Eukaryota; Bacillariophyta; Bacillariophyceae; Naviculales; Naviculaceae.
GGGAAUGUAGCUUAAUUGGUGAAAGUGUCGACCUGUCACGUCGAAGAGUGCGGGUUCAAAUCCCGUCUUUCUCG